Phalacrocorax carbo (great cormorant) is the source of this 2201-nucleotide non-coding RNA. The record is from RefSeq and is a predicted model, not a curated record. NCBI's taxonomy places the organism in Eukaryota, Metazoa, Chordata, Aves, Suliformes, Phalacrocoracidae.
GUUCUAAAAGAACAAAAAUUAAGCAUUGACAUGAUCAUGGCAACAUAUAUCAUUUUCAAAAGUAGUAUUAAUUUACACCUACUGUUCAGAAUGGAUCUUCUGCUUUUCCUUAUUCUCAUGCCAUUUACUAAACUCAUUUUACUCAUGUACUGUCUCUACUGUGAACUGCAAAAUCUGCUUUAUUUGCAUGUUUGCCCAGGACUUAGCAAAACAGGAGACUAGGACACAAACAAAUAAAAAAAAAAUAAAAUCAUGCCAAAACAGGCUCAGUUUCAAAAAUAGCAUCUACAACACAAAAUGACAGUGAAUGUUUACCAAAUCAGAUCUGCCAGCACAAUGAGAUACUCAUUAAAUGAAUUUUGUUAUGGAAGCUCUGUUCCCCUACCCCUUUACUAUUCACAUGUUAAAGAAAUUUCCUCACAUACUGAAAGAUGUUAAUACUUGAAUCAAAAGAAAAAGCUAAUAAGCAGCAGAGUUAGUAAUAAAUUUGUGACACAUUCCCUUUUCUUUGCAGUAAGUUAGUGUCAAACACAUUUGGAUAUAUUCUAGGUGAUAUAAUUGACCUAGCUAUUGUCAUGCAAAUUAUUGGGCUGCUCUAACUGAACAAUCUAUUUGAGUUGCUACAAUACACUGUUUGGGAAUUGACAAGGCAUGGGGUGGGGAUCAAUGGCUUUUUCAAGAUGACCAGCACAAAUUUUUUUUGUUUUAAAGCUGUGGUGUUGACUUAUUUUUUUCUUCCUAUUCCCUCUUUAGUUGUACAAUCUCUUCUCCUCUUGCGAUACCUUUCUUUAUCACUUGUUCCGACUCAAAUUAUACCAAUACCCACUUCAGCUUCUUAAGCAAAGAACGGAUCUUACAACAUAAGAUCAUUUCUGUGGCGUUUUGUUAUAUAUCAAUAAACAGAUUUCACUUCUCAGCUUUCAAUUACUGUGAAUCAGUUGUAGGCUUAUUUACUAUCCACAUCUAAUUAGUUGUCAAUUUACUAUGGUACUCACUGAGUUUAUACCUUCAAAGCUAGAAACUAUGUCACAAAUAAAAAUGUGUUGGAAUACCAAGGAAGGAAGGAAGCUGAAUGAAAUAACAUUAUCAAAUAAGAGGAAAAACCGUGGUUUCUUCCCCCCUUGGGGGUAUAUUCAAUUUCAAAAUGCACAAGAAAACAAAAGGACAAGCAUACUGCAUUUCAUAGUGUCUCUUUUGUUAGUUCUAGCUUGUACUUUAUUAACAAAUUUGUGUUUUCCUAGAUCAGAGUUGACAAAAAUUAUUAACAUUUUUAUGUUCAAGCAGUGAAAACAGUACAAGUAAAACUGACUUGAGGGAGAAUAUAUUUUUAUUACAAGAUGAUAAAUGUAAUUAACUUUGUCAGCAAGAUUCAAGGAGGACAGGAAGCAAACAUAUACAUGGAAUAUAUAUAUCCUGAACUCCAGCCACAAGUACAAGAUUUGAAAAUCCUGCAGAUAUUGCAGCAGUCUGAGGAAACAGCUGUCUUGAGGCCAUAAAACAACUGCACAAGGAGGUCCGACUGCUGAAAUUUGAAAUUUGUCUACUGCAGCCAGAAGACCCUAAACUCUGCUACCAGUCUUGCAGCCUCAGCAGAAACUUCCUCUUGAUUCUAGUUGGAUGCUCGACUUCAGAAAAGCCACAUACAUACUGCUACAGCAAACACAGACAGCUCAAAUCCUGCGUCAAAUUCCCAGGCUGGGCAACUGGCAGUGUGGAUUAAUAAAUUGUGGAAACCCACAAUGCACCAAGACAAAACCAAAACCAGGAAAAUGCUGUGUGAUGGGAUAACCAUUCAAUUCAAACAGGUGGUCCAAGCCAUCAGCCACAUGCCUCCAACUUCUCUUUGGCAGGGGAACAGUAGAAGUUUACACAAAAGAAGAAUUUAGUAAGCAGGACCACAGACAGCAACAGAGGCAUCAAGAAUACAGAAGACACAAGAUAGCCUAGAGCUUAGUCCAACAGCUGACGACUACGGAGUGAAGGAAGCACUCACCUGAAUUAGAAUCUGGAAAAGACAAAUAGCAUAUAUUGGUUUUCUAAAGGGUGGGGAAAAAGAAAAGAGAGCCAUUAUAUCUCCUGAAAUUACUAAACUAAAAACAAAUUAUGUACUUAUACAGCAACCAUGGCUUACCUCUUUAUCUGUGAGUUUUGAAUGUGGAGGAUAUAUUACCUACAGGAAAAAAAGUAUUAUUUUAUUUGAA